UUCUGGGCCGCACGCGCGCUACACUGACAGGGGAAGCGAGUUCCUCCUUGGCCGGAAGGCCCGGGUAAUCUUGUGAAACCCUGUCGUGCUGGGGAUAGAGCAUUGCAAUUAUUGCUCUUGAACGAGGAAUCCCUAGUAAUCGCAAGUCAUCAGCUUGCGUUGAUUACGUCCCUGCCCUUUGUACACACCGCCCGUCGCUACUACCGAUUGAAUGACUCAGUGAGGCGUCCGGACUGGCCUAGAGAGGUGGGCAACUACCACUCAGGGCCGGAAAGUUCUCCAAACUCGGUUAUUUAGAGGAAGUAAAAGUCGUAACAAGGUCUCCGUUGGUGAACCAGCGGAGGGAUCAUUAUAGAGUUUCUACUCUUCUACCCAUGUGAACUUACCUUACUAUCCUCCGGCGGAACGCCCCGGUGCCUUCGGGCCCGGACCAGGCGCCCGCCGGGGAACAAACAAACUGUAUUUGUCUCCUGUAUACCUCAGAAACUGGCGUAAAGCCGAAAUGUAACAACUUUUGACAAUGGAUCUCUUGGCACUGGCAUCGAUGAAGAACGCAGCGAAAUGCGAUAAGUAAUGUGAAUUGCAGAGCACAGUGAAUCAUCGAAUCUUUGAACGCACAUGGCGCCCGCCGGUAAUCCGGCGGGCAUGCCUGUCCGAGCGUCAUUUCAACCCUCAGAACCCCUCUCUCGGGAGGGCGUUACUGGUGUUUGGGAAAGAAAGCCCCCCCGGGCGCCCGUCCUUAAAUUAUUGGGGGCUCCGGAGUCUGUCUCCCUGCGUAGUAUUGCAUCUCCUUUGGUGAAUUCCCGGGUGGUGGGGCUUUGCCGCGAAACCCCCCUAGGUUGACUCGGAUCAGGGAGGGGAACCCCUGAACUUAACCUUUCAUAACGGAGGAAAAAAACCAACGGGGAUUGCUC
This 914-nucleotide ribosomal RNA is filed under the name Hypocreales sp. LM290. RNAcentral describes it as "bacterial SSU rRNA". The stretch from base 1 to 352 matches the Rfam family "Eukaryotic small subunit ribosomal RNA", at positions 1480 to 1831 of the family's 1831-position model. The record is from RNAcentral. Lineage: Eukaryota; Fungi; Ascomycota; Sordariomycetes; Hypocreales.